RNAcentral lists this transfer RNA (63 nucleotides) under Cavia porcellus (domestic guinea pig). It matches the Rfam family "tRNA", at positions 5 to 66 of the family's 71-position model. Rfam says of the family: Transfer RNA (tRNA) molecules are approximately 80 nucleotides in length. Their secondary structure includes four short double-helical elements and three loops (D, anti-codon, and T loops). The record is from Rfam by way of RNAcentral. Lineage: Eukaryota; Metazoa; Chordata; Mammalia; Rodentia; Caviidae.
GUAUAGCUCAGUGGCACAGCACUUGCCUGGAAAGCACGAGGUCCUGAGUUUAAUUCUUGGUAC